This 7980-nucleotide long non-coding RNA is filed under the name Homo sapiens (human). Its description in RNAcentral is "HSALNT0303330". The record is from RNAcentral. Lineage: Eukaryota; Metazoa; Chordata; Mammalia; Primates; Hominidae.
UUUCUUUUUUUAAAAGUUUAUUAUUGUUGCCAAUAUAUAAUAGCUUACUAUGUGUAGGUAUCCUACCUACAUUAUCUCUAAUCCUCAAUAUAACCCCAUGAGGUAGGUUGUGUUAAUUACAUUUUGCACGUGAAGAAACUGAGGCCCAGGGAGGCUAAAUGAUUUUCCCUGUCAUGCAUUCAGCUGCAGACAUGGAAACUGAACCUAUGUAUGUCUCACCCAGAGCCCAAAUUACCAAUCCUCCUGUUGGUAGUUGUAUAAAGACAAGGUGGUUUAAACAGAUUUCCAGACUGAGUCACAAAACACUGACAACUCAAGUACUGAAGAAAAAGAAAGACAAAGGUGUAAAUGUAAUUAUGGUGGGAAAUAUUAAACAUGUAUUUUUUAAUGUCCACAAACCCACUAAAAUUAAAUCAACUCAAUAAAUAGAAUAAACAUGUAGUAAAUCAUGCCUGACAUAUAGGCAUAUUCUGGUUUCAGUGGUUAACUGGAUCUAAAAACUGAUUCUUUAUGAAAAUACUAAUGAAAUACACAUACUGAAGGUAAAGGUUUUCAAAGCACAAUACAAAGUUGGAAAUGAAGGUAGAAAUAUAACAGUUUUUUUUCUCCAUAUCAGACAGGUAAUGUACUAACGCUGUAACAAGCUCUUUGGGAGGCACAUCUCAUACAUGCAAUGGGAACACCUAAUUACUAUGUUUAUGAACUAUAAAAGGAUCUAAGUUUUAAAAGAGUAUUUUUAAAUUGGAUGUUAUUUGUAAAACAAACUUCAAAAUCAUAAACGAGUGCAAUUCUACUAAAGUACCCAAAGUGAUAAUACUAAAAAUGCUUUGAUUUCAUUAUCCUGACAUUUUGGAUUUUGUAUAUAUUUAUAUUUUCUCUUUAAUUUUAUUACAAACAUUUGGCAUAUGUCUUUAGUCUCUUACUCUCAACUCUUUAUUUUAACCAAGUCCUAUUUCAGUAUCAUGACCCUUCCUCUACAAUCACCCUGACCAGAAAGUCACACUUAUUUUUGUCUUAAAAAGGGGGAAAAAAGGUUGAAAUCUGAGCCAGAAACAGCAAAUAAUUUAAAUGCCAACAAGUCUAGCUUAGACUCCAAACAAAAAUACUACAUUAUAUAAAAAUUAGAGAAUCAGCUGAAGAAUAGACCAUGUUCGUUCCUUGGUGGUGGAUGAAAUUAUCAAUUAGCCAGCAACACCAACUAGGGAUUAGUAUAAUGAAGACCUUCAAAGGGUGUUUGGUGCCAUCUACUGGAAAUGAAGUAGUAAGUAUAAAACAAAGGUUUUGAGAUUCGGAGUUUUCCUAGAAAUUAUUUUACACAGAUGUAUGGAAUGACCAGUUAAUUAAGAAAACCUGAAAGUAUAAGUUUUGAAGAAAGAACUGAGAAUCCUAAGAUAAUGAAGAAGUGGUGACUUUCAAUACCUAGUGCCUCAAAGGCAUGGCCUAAGCAUUGACUGACUGAGAGUCACAGCUCCAGAAAUAGAAGCUGGGAAUUCUAGAAUGUUUGAACCAGAAUUUUAUGACCAGAACUUUAAAUAAAAAGUUAUGUGUAAUAGCAUAAACAUGGGAUGACAAUAGUUUAUAUCUUUGAGCACAUAUCAAGAUAAACUAAUUGAGAUAUAUACUUGAAAAUGGGGAAUUACAAAGACAUAAAAUAUUAGACUUGUCAGAUAAUCUUUACUGCCAAGUUAAUCUCUGCCCAGUCUCCUCUGGGAGGCUUAUACUCCAGAUGGGCAUAGGACAGUAUAUUAAGAGGUAAAUGCCAAUACUGAGCAAGCAGCAGGCUCAUCACACACUAUGGAGUUCUCUGCCGGAGAUGCCGCUUCAGAGAGCACCCCAGAGUGGCAGGGAAGAAAACUGUUACCGUAUUAUAAUCCUGAAGUGCCUAAAAAGUUCUAUCACUAUGGGAAUUAAAGCCCCCUAUUUAUAACUGAGUUUGAUACCUCCUAACUACUAUGACAUUAAAAUAUAUUUUGUCUUAUAAGGUUUUGAGGAAUUGAUUUUGUUCCUCGAAGCAGAUAAAUCAGGAUUUCAAGUUUCUGGUUCAACAGUAUCAUCUCUUUCUUUGUGGCUAUUUUGGACACACUAAUAUGAUACCUAACAUCAUAAUAUUAAAUUUUAAAAACCUUUAAAAACACUGUUUUGCAAAAAUUAGUCACUCUACAAAUCUGUGAUUUAGAAAAUGAGGCAACAGCCAGGGGCCGUGGCUCAUGCCUGUAAUCUCAACACUUUGGGAGGCUGAAAUGGGAGGAUCACUUGAGCUCAGGAGUUUGAGACCAGACUGGGCAACAUAGUGAGAACUCACCUCUACUCAAAAAAUAAAUUAGCUGGGUGUGGUGGUGCAGCCUGUAGUCCCAGCUACUUGGGAGGCUGAAGCAAGAGGACUGCUUGAGCCCAGGAAGUUGAUGCUCCAGUGAGCAUAAUUGCACCACACAGCACUCCAGCCAGAGCAGGUAAACAAACAAACAAACAAAAAGGCAAUGGCUAAAUUGUCAUAUGUAUAUCACACAAAACACUAUGCAGCAGCUUUUUAAAAGGUAGAUUUAUAUAUACUGUCAAGAAAAGAUCCCUAAGGCACAGUGUUGAGUAAAUAGAUUGUAAAAUAACCCUUACAGCAUUUUCUUUUUAAAGGCCCAAACUAUGUAUUUUCCCAAUUUCCUACUCUGCUAUAUACAUACAGGCAUGGACAAAAGAUACAAAGCAAAGGAUUAGCAGAAAGAAUGGGCAAUAUCAUUCUGAGUACUGUUCGAAAGGAGUUUAGCUUUGUCACGAUGUUUUAAGACUGUUACAAGAAAGACGCUUGCCACAAAUGAUAUUUCCUAAAAGAAAAAAAUGUAAUAUUUAACUUUUCUUCUGUUGAGGCAAGAUAAGUCAACUGCAUAUAUCAUAAAUAAGAUUUUCUUACUUUACAAGAAGGAAGAACUGAGAUCCUGUUUUUUGAAUGCAAGUUAAAUACAAAAUAAAGUACUUGGGUAACUAAAGGUAAUCAGAUGUAAAAUGAAGAUCAAGGGACUAGGUUAGUGAAAAAAGGUUACAGAACUAUAUUCACAAAUUCAAGACAUGGGUUGAGCGUUGCACUCUGUGCCAGCCACUGUGUGGUGCUGGGGCUGCAGAGCUAACCAAAGAGAUCCCCCACUUCUCCGAGCUCACUGUCUAAUAGAAGAACCAGACGUAAUAAAAGAAUAUAGGGUAUGUCAGGCAGUGAUAAAUGCGGUGAAGACAAGUAAAGGAGGGCUUGGAGAGCCACACGGAGAAACUGGAACCCUCAUAUAUUGUGGAUGGGACUGUAAAAUAGUGCAGCAGCUUUGAAAGACAGUUUGACAGUGCUUUAUGUUUAAGUUAAACAUAGUUUCCAUGACUUGGUAAUUCCACUCCUAAGCAUACUCCCAAGAGAACUGAAAACAUGUUCAUACAAAAACUUGUAUACAAAUGUUCUGGCACCAUUCUUUCUUUCUUUCUUUUUUCUGAGAUGGAGUCUCACUCUGUCACCCAGGCUGGAGUGCAAUGGUGCAAUCUCUGCUUACUGCAACCUCCGCCUCCUGGGUUCAAGCAAUUCUCCUGCCUCAGCCUCGCAAGUAGCUGGGAUUACAGGCACACGCCACCAUGUCUGGCUAAUUUUUGUAUUUUUAGUAGAGACAGGGUUUCACUAUGUUGGCCAGGCUGGUCUUGAACUCCUGACCUCAAGUGAUCUGCCCACCUCGGCCUCCCAAAGUGCUGGGAUUACUGGCAUAAGCCACCACACCCAGCCAUGGCACCAUUAUUUCUUAAUAGUCAAUAAGUGAAAACAACUCACAUGCCCAUCAACUGAUGAAUUAUAAACAAAAAUGUGGUAUAACUAUAGAAUGGAAUAUUAUUUGCAGACAAAAAAGAAUGAUGGAUGUACUGAUACAUGCUACAACACAGAGGAACUUUGAAAACAUUAUGCUAAAUGAGAGAAGCCAGACACAAAAGGCUACAUGUUGUAUUAUUCCAUUUAUAUGAAAUGUUCAAAAUAGGUACAUCUGUAGAGACAGGAAGUACAUUAGUGGAUUCUAGGGGUAGGGGGAUGAGGAGUGAUUAUUAAUGGAUAUGAGGUUUCUUUCUGGGGUUAUGAAAACAUUCUGGAAUUAGGAAUGAUGGAUGCAUAACUCUGAGUAUAUUAAAAACCACUGAAUUGUAAGCUUUAGAAGGGUAAAUUUUAUGGCAUAUAAAUUUUAUCUCAACUUUUUAAAUGUUAAAAAAAAAAAGAGUAAAGCAGAGUACAGAGACAGGGAAGAAAGUUUCCUAUUUUGGAUAGGGUGAUCAGGAAUGACCUUAGUUUGAGCAGAGAUCUGAACAAUGUAAAGAAGCUACUCGUGCAAAUCGGGGAGGUGGGGGAACAUUCCAGAAGGAAGAAAGAGCAAGUGAGAAGACUCUGGGAGUAGACACAAGCCUGUUUUGAAAGAACAGCAAGGAGGCCGGCCAGUGUAGCUCAGUGCAGUGAGCAAGAGUGAGGCUGUAGAAAGCCAGGGUCUAGGUCAUAUGGAGGCCCUGUAGACCACACUGAGGACUGGACUUUAUUCUAAAUGAUUUAAAAAAAUCACUGGAGCCAGGAGCAAUAUGACUAGUUGCACAUUUAAUUAAUUAAUUAAUUUAGAGACAAAAUCUCGCUCUGUUGCCCAGGCUGGAAUGUAGUGGUGAGAUCUUGGCUCACUGCAGCCUCCGCCUCCAGAUUUCAAGCAAAACUCCUGCCCCAGCCACCCGAGUAGCUGGGAUUACAGGUGCAUGCCACCACGUCCAGCUAAUUUUUGAAUAUUUAGUAGAGAUGGAGUUUCACCACAUUGGCCAAACUGGUCUCAAACUCCUGACCUCAAGUGAUCCGCUGGCCUCAGCCUCACAAAGAGCUGGGAUUAUAGGCAGGAGCCACUGCGCCCAGCCUUGAUGUACAUUUCAAAAGGUUCCUCUCUGAUACUGGAUGGAGAAUAAACAGGCAGCAAGAGUGGAAGGAGGAAGACUUGUUAGGAGGCUACUGCAGUAGUCCAGGCAAGAGAGAUGGCUUAGGUUAGCACAGGUGGUGAAAAGUGGUCAAAUUCAAAAUGUACUCUGACGUUAAAGCCAAAAUAAUCUGCUAAUGAAUCAGAUGUAAGGCAUAAAAUAAAAGAGUCAAAGAUGGCCCCAAGGACCAUGGUCUGAGCAAAGGAGUGAAUGAAAGGGCCAUUUACUAUGAUGGGAAAGCCCCAAAAAAGAAGACUGGGCAGAGUUCUGUUCAGUUAAUCUUAAAUUUGAGGUGCCUAAUAGUCUAGUUGCAUAUACAUGACUGUAGUUCAGUAAAAUGGUCCGACAGGAAGAGUAUAAAUUUGAGAGAGAUGGCAGAAGGUGUUUGAAGCCACACAAAUGGACACUUCACCAAAGAAGAGACUAGAGAGUCCAAGGACUGAGCCCUGGAGCACUUAACAUUUAGACACUUAGAAAACUUGGCUCAAUUUACAUCCCCUAUGAGGAUGAGCCUCUUAGAGGAAGAAUACAAGGAUGCUGCACUUUGGUUAUUCUUCCAGAAUUAGAUGAUCUAAUGGAUAAAAAGUUCCUUCAAACCAAGACUUUUGGGAUCAAAGGUAUCUUUUCUCGAUUUUUCAAAGAUUUCCUCUUCUUCUAUUUCUUUAGUGUUAGCUCACAGACAGCAGAUCUGUUGACCUACCAGAUUCUCUCAGAUUAUUUAUCUGCAAAGUAUGCUGCCUUAAGGACUUCAAGUCAAAUCUCUAGUAACACAACACCAAUAAAAUGAUAAGGCAGUACUUUGGUUUGGAGUAUAUUAUUUUAUCCUAGAAGAUUUGGCUUCACUAUUAAGACAACAAUUAGGUCUGCUUUUCUUAGGUAUACACAAAAAUAGAAACAGUCCUUAUGAUGGAUUAUUUACAGAUAUAUAGUAUUUUGGUGGGUAGAGGCAUGGGGAACUAUUUAGCUCAGCUGGCAAAAAGUCCAAGCAAAACAAUCCAAAUGCCUAGAGUGGUGACAGUUGUGCAAUGGGUACUUCAAAGCUGUACAACAUUCAAAUACUUAAACAUUGAAGGCAGUAGGUAGAAUAAACAUCAAGAGUUUCUGCCUUUAUGCUGAAUAGCAUUAGCUUUCUCAUCUGGGAAAUGGGAGAUGGUAGUACCUGCUCUAUUUAUCUCAUAAGGAUUAAGUGAAUCAAGGUGCUCUGCACCCUGUAGCAUGCAAUGCAGUCAUUAUCAUUAUUAUUUUCUUUACAGGGAACUAACGUGCCAGGAAAGCUUUCAAAGAACUAAGUAGGCCAGGCAUGGAGGCUCGUGCUUGUAAUCCCAGCACUUUGGGAGGCUGAGGUGGGUGAUCACCUGAGCUCAGGAGUUCGAGACCAGCCUGGCCAACAUAGUGAAACCCCAUCUCUACUAAAAAUACAAAAAUUGAGGCUGAGCACGGUGGCUCAUGCCUGUAAUCCUAGCAUUUUGGGAGGCCGAGGCAGGUGGAUCAUGAGGUCAGGAGAUUGAGACCAUCCUGGCUAACAUGGUGAAACCCCAUCUCUACUAAAAAUACAAAAAAUUAGUCAGGCGUGGUGGUAAGCGCCUGUAGUCCUAGCUACUUGGGAGUCUGAGGCAGGAGAAUUGCUUAAACCCAGGAGGUGGAGGUUGCAGUGAGCCAAGAUAAUGCCACUGCACUCCAGCCUGGGCGACAGAGCAAGACUCUGUCUCAAAAAAAAAAAAAAAAAAAAGAACUACAAUAGGUGGUCAAAUUUCAGAUGCAAUAGGAUUUAAAAAUCUAGUUAAAGAUUUGUAAAAGGUACAUGCAAGGAUAACCAUUACAGAAUUGCUUAAAGUAGCAAAAUAUUAGAAAUAACUUAAAAAUAACUUGAAUGUCCAUCAACAGGGAAUUAGUUAAAUAAAUUAUGGUCCAUCCUACCAUGGAUUGACUAUAAAGCAGCCCUUAAAAAUCUAGAGAUAAGGCCAGGCACGGUGGCUCAUCCCUGUAAUCCCAGCACUUUGGGAGGCCAAGGGGGGGUGGAUCAUCUGAGGUCAGGAGUUUGAGACCAGCCUGGACAACAUGGUGAAACCCUGUCUCUACCAAAAAUGCAAAAAUUAGCCGGGCGUGGUGGUGCACGCCUGUAAUCCCAGCUACCAGGAAGCUGAGGCAGGAUAAUUGCUUGAGCCCUGGCGGGAGAGGUUGCAGUGGGCCAAAACUGCGCCACUGCCCUCUAGCCUAGGUGACAGAGUGAAACUCUGUCUCAAAAAGGAAAAAAAAAAAAAAAGAAAUUAAAAAACUGAGACAAUUUUACCGGUACCGAUAAGAAACCAUCACAAGAUGUAUAAGAUGUAUGUGAACAAAGACUAGGUGCAGAACAGUAUGAAGAGUUUGCUUCUAUCUUUAUAUACAAGACAUAUAUAUAUAUAGAUAGAUAGAUAUAGAUAUGUUAUAUAUAUAUAUGUAUAACAUAUAUACAACCAUAUAUAAAUAUAUGGUUGUAUAUACGUGGAAUAUCUCUGAAAGGAUAUACAAUUAAUGCAUCACUAGAUAUCCUUUGUAUCAUCUGAAUUGUGUUCCAUGUUUGUAGUACUUACUCAGGAAAAUAGGUUAAAACCUAGCCACACAGCCUCAACUACCAGCAAAGUCUACAACAGAAUGGGUGAUGGUUAUUAUCUUCAAUAGAAAAAGAGCGUUCUUCAAAUGAAAAAAAGAAAAGCUUGCCAAAAGACAAAUAUUAAUAGAUCCAAGAUUUAAAAUUAGCAUGUUACAAAAGAAAUAUGGCUAAUACAUUUAAAAAAUAUUCAUCCUCCCUAGAAAUGAAACAAAAAUACAAAACCAAAUAGUACCAUUAUUUUACCCAUCAGGUAGGAAACUUUAAAACAAAUUUUACACUUAAUAUUUGUACAUGUAUCUGAAACAAGAAUGCUCAUACUUUACUGGAUAGAGUUGGCUGUUACCUUUUAGCCAGAGAUACCAAAUGUCUUAAAACAUGUAUACAUGGCCCUUUUAAUCUCACUCAGCAAUGCCACGUCUAAGUACGGACCCUGAGGA